Molecule: ribosomal RNA, 253 nt
Filed under: uncultured bacterium
Lineage: Bacteria
Description: partial 16S ribosomal RNA
Rfam family: Bacterial small subunit ribosomal RNA
Source: RNAcentral
UACGUAGGGGGCAAGCGUUGUCCGGAAUCAUUGGGCGUAAAGCGCGUGUAGGCGGCUCGGUAAGUCCGCUCUGAAAGUCCAGGGCUCAACCCUGGGAUGCGGGUGGAUACUGCCGGGCUCGAGUCCGGAAGAGGCGAGUGGAAUUCCCGGUGUAGCGGUGAAAUGCGCAGAUAUCGGGAGGAACACCAAUGGCGAAGGCAGCUCGCUGGGACGGUAUUGACGCUGAGACGCGAAAGCGUGGGGAGCAAACAGG